UCAUAUGGGAAAGAAAUUGAAAUUACUAAACUUCUUCUAUUAUAAAUGUUGCUAUCCUAUUUUAUAGUUUUAAUAAAAUAUGUGUAAAAACAAAAAGUGAAUAACUUUGGCAUAUGAAACAUUCGUAACUAUUAAUCAAAAGGCUAAAAAGUUGAUGUUAUAUUUGUAAUUUGCAAUUGAAUUAUUAAGUUAUUUUAUAACUAUGGAAAAAAAAAGAAAUGUGCAAAAAUAAAUGAGAAAAUGAUAAAUAUAGAUCAAGCGAAGAAAGAAUAUGCUAAAGCAAAAAAAGAAUGAAUAAAGGACAGAAAAGGAAACCAUUUGCUUAACAAUAUUCAAUGUAUAAUGUUAUUUAAUUAUAAUGUUUUGAAGGAAUCUUCUGGAAUUUAUUCUUAAUGAGAUAAACAUAAACUACAGUCCAGGCCAAAAAAUAUAAAUUAGUGGAAAAAAGUAAAAGUUUACUACUUAGAAACUAUUAAAAAGCUACUUUUGAUAAUUAUAUUACCAUGUUGAAACUGUGAUACUAUAGCAAGUAUGUAUUAAUAAGGAUUAUAACUAGUGUUACUACAUGGUUGCAAACAUUAUUAUUGAGAUAUUGGAAUCUAUUUGUAAAACACAAUAAUGCUUCUAGCAGUACAUCAGAGCAAUCAAGAGUACAUAAGAAUUAAGAAUGUAGUUACCUGAAAUUUUGAAUAGAUGAGAAUUUGGAAGAAUUUUUGGAGAGAGCCGCAAUAAAAGUCUGUCGAAUCACUCAUUCAACUCUUAAUUUGGUAUUUCUUGACACUGAAAAACAAGCAAAAUCGAAUAAAUGAUUUCAAUUGUAAUAAGUAUCUUUGAAAUAUUUUGUAUGUCAUCAUAUGGUGUUAUCAAUUAUAUUAAUAAGCCAAUGUAUUGAAAUUAAAUAAUAUUUUAUAUGAAAUUAAAUAAUAUUUUAUACAAA
Long non-coding RNA from Vespula vulgaris, 937 nucleotides. RefSeq lists it as uncharacterized. The record is from RefSeq and is a predicted model, not a curated record. NCBI's taxonomy places the organism in Eukaryota, Metazoa, Arthropoda, Insecta, Hymenoptera, Vespidae. The transcript has 3 exons.